GUUUUAAUAAUUUAAAGAAACUAUUAGUCUUGUAAACUAAAAUUAGGAAAUUAUCCUUUAAAACU
Molecule: transfer RNA, 65 nt
Filed under: Nesophrosyne sp. 21 GMB-2012
Lineage: Eukaryota; Metazoa; Arthropoda; Insecta; Hemiptera; Cicadellidae
Description: tRNA-Thr
Source: RNAcentral